This 546-nucleotide small RNA is filed under the name Trichoderma asperellum. Its description in RNAcentral is "eukaryotic LSU rRNA". The stretch from base 198 to 351 matches the Rfam family "5.8S ribosomal RNA". Lineage: Eukaryota; Fungi; Ascomycota; Sordariomycetes; Hypocreales; Hypocreaceae. The record is from RNAcentral.
GCGAGGGAUCAUUACCGAGUUUACAACUCCCAAACCCAAUGUGAACGUUACCAAACUGUUGCCUCGGCGGGGUCACGCCCCGGGUGCGUCGCAGCCCCGGAACCAGGCGCCCGCCGGAGGAACCAACCAAACUCUUUCUGUAGUCCCCUCGCGGACGUAUUUCUUACAGCUCUGAGCAAAAAUUCAAAAUGAAUCAAAACUUUCAACAACGGAUCUCUUGGUUCUGGCAUCGAUGAAGAACGCAGCGAAAUGCGAUAAGUAAUGUGAAUUGCAGAAUUCAGUGAAUCAUCGAAUCUUUGAACGCACAUUGCGCCCGCCAGUAUUCUGGCGGGCAUGCCUGUCCGAGCGUCAUUUCAACCCUCGAACCCCUCCGGGGGAUCGGCGUUGGGGAUCGGGACCCCUCACACGGGUGCCGGCCCCGAAAUACAGUGGCGGUCUCGCCGCAGCCUCUCCUGCGCAGUAGUUUGCACAACUCGCACCGGGAGCGCGGCGCGUCCACGUCCGUAAAACACCCAACUUUCUGAAAUGUUGACCUCGGAUCAGGUA